UAACUUGAGAGUUUGAUCCUGGCUCAGGACGAACGCUGGCGGCAGGCCUAACACAUGCAAGUCGAACGCAUCCUUCGGGAUGAGUGGCGCACGGGUGAGUAACACGUGGGAACGUACCUUGGAGUACGGAAUAAUCCUUGGAAACGAGGACUAAUACCGUAUACGCCCUUCGGGGGAAAGAAUUUCGCUCCAAGAUCGGCCCGCGUCCGAUUAGCUAGUUGGCGGGGUAAUGGCCCACCAAGGCGACGAUCGGUAGCUGGUCUGAGAGGAUGAUCAGCCACACUGGGACUGAGACACGGCCCAGACUCCUACGGGAGGCAGCAGUGGGGAAUAUUGCGCAAUGGGGGAAACCCUGACGCAGCCAUGCCGCGUGAGUGAAGAAGGCCUUCGGGUUGUAAAGCUCUUUCGGGUGUGAAGAUGAUGACGGUAACACCAGAAGAAGCCCCGGCUAACUUCGUGCCAGCAGCCGCGGUAAUACGAAGGGGGCAAGCGUUGUUCGGAAUCACUGGGCGUAAAGAGCGCGUAGGCGGUUAGAUCAGUCAGAGGUGAAAGCCCAGGGCUCAACCCUGGAAAUGCCUUUGAUACUGUCUAGCUUGAAUCCGUGAGAGGGUGGUGGAAUUCCCAGUGUAGGGGGGAGGUGAAAUUCGUAGAUAUUGGGAGGAACACCAGUGGCGAAGGCGGCCACCUGCCAGAUCUCUAUGGGCUUGCCUGCCGCUUCAUGGGCCGCGAUCUUGUCCAGG
RNAcentral lists this non-coding RNA (740 nucleotides) under Pararhodospirillum photometricum DSM 122. Its description in RNAcentral is "Bacterial small subunit ribosomal RNA". It matches the Rfam family "Bacterial small subunit ribosomal RNA", at positions 1 to 782 of the family's 1533-position model. Lineage: Bacteria; Pseudomonadati; Pseudomonadota; Alphaproteobacteria; Rhodospirillales; Rhodospirillaceae. The record is from Rfam by way of RNAcentral.